CCCGGUGUGUCCGUGUCCUUGUAGAACUUGAUUCCGUUCUUCAGCCCCUCGGCGAGCGUCAGGUAAACCGCGAACUGCAUGAGGAAGCAGAGCAGCGCCGUCAGCAGCAGCAGCACGUUGAACCCGCAGCACAGCAGCAGCUCAAUCUUGAAGAAGAUUCCGAGGCUGAAGAUGAGAAUUCCCACGAUGACCGAGAGCCAGUAGAGCAUCCACAGCCCCUGAGCAAGCUUCACCCGCUUCUGCAGGUUGAACUUCACCGGCAUGAACGGCAUCUUUACGUCUCCACGCAACAACCCAACGACGUAAGAGCACAAGUCAACAACAACAAGUCACCGAUCAACAAGAAAGAGUUCGAGACAGAAUCCGUCAAAGUCUCAGAGUUUUAAUCCGUUCCAGAAAGAACACAGGACUCGGACACUGCUCCUGGUUUGUCACCCAUAAUGCCGAGCUGCAGGGGGGGCCGAGGAGCUGGCCAUCAAACUCUGGGUUAGGGUCCGACCGUCCGAGUGUCCAGGUGUGAGUGUGAACGAGAUGCGACUCAUCACUUGGACCCUGAAGGUUCUGAUCCCAUUAACAACAGAUCAGCUGAUAAUCAGGUUCUAAUGACGUUCUAAUCCUGGUAAUCGGUAAGACGCUGCUUCCUGUGCCGGUCUCACUUCAUCCACCUGUCUCACCUCACUGCUGCCUGUCUCACUGGCAGAAGUUUGAACUCAUGGUGUGGACAUUAAAAAAUGUACCAUCUUCAGACUAUUAGUUAUUAUUGCGUCGCUGUUUAAUGUGGUGAUAACGUUAAUUGUUUCUUGUCAUCCACAGCUAACCUGCUGUUCCUCUGCUGCCCUCUGGGGGCGCUGCAGCUCAUUAACACAAAGUCUCAUUGUUAAUUUUUCUAUUUUAUUUCUUUGUUUAGGUUCUGACGCUGUUUGUUUGUCAUCGUUGUAUUUAUCUUUAUUUUUCAACAAUUAAAAUCUCUGCGAAACUUAA
Hippoglossus stenolepis (Pacific halibut) is the source of this 981-nucleotide long non-coding RNA. RefSeq lists it as uncharacterized. NCBI's taxonomy places the organism in Eukaryota, Metazoa, Chordata, Actinopteri, Pleuronectiformes, Pleuronectidae. The transcript has 2 exons. The record is from RefSeq and is a predicted model, not a curated record.